AAAUUGAAGAGUUUGAUCAUGGCUCAGAUUGAACGCUGGCGGCAGGCCUAACACAUGCAAGUCGAGCGGUAACACAGAGAGCUUGCUCUCGGGUGACGAGCGGCGGACGGGUGAGUAAUGUCUGGGAAACUGCCUGAUGGAGGGGGAUAACUACUGGAAACGGUAGCUAAUACCGCAUAACGUCGCAAGACCAAAGUGGGGGACCUUCGGGCCUCAUGCCAUCAGAUGUGCCCAGAUGGGAUUAGCUAGUAGGUGGGGUAAUGGCUCACCUAGGCGACGAUCCCUAGCUGGUCUGAGAGGAUGACCAGCCACACUGGAACUGAGACACGGUCCAGACUCCUACGGGAGGCAGCAGUGGGGAAUAUUGCACAAUGGGCGCAAGCCUGAUGCAGCCAUGCCGCGUGUAUGAAGAAGGCCUUCGGGUUGUAAAGUACUUUCAGCGAGGAGGAAGGCAUUAAGGUUAAUAACCUUGGUGAUUGACGUUACUCGCAGAAGAAGCACCGGCUAACUCCGUGCCAGCAGCCGCGGUAAUACGGAGGGUGCAAGCGUUA
This 551-nucleotide ribosomal RNA is filed under the name Klebsiella aerogenes. Its description in RNAcentral is "bacterial SSU rRNA". It matches the Rfam family "Bacterial small subunit ribosomal RNA", at positions 1 to 543 of the family's 1533-position model. Lineage: Bacteria; Pseudomonadati; Pseudomonadota; Gammaproteobacteria; Enterobacterales; Enterobacteriaceae. The record is from RNAcentral.